GCUCAGUUCUCACUGAUUAUUGUUAAUGUUUAGCUGAAUAUGCCAUAAAGUUUUAAGCUUCCAGCAGAAGUGACACGGCUGCAUUGCAUACAGAAAAUGGAAAGCCUGCUGUGUACCGAGGAAAAGCUGUGCUGACAAAAUGAGAGUGAUAUCAUUUAGAAGGGUUUUGUUUCAGGUGUGCCUUUCAGGGUGGAAAUGAUCAGAUUGAGGGGGCUUUCAAAGCGGCAGUUCGGUCCAGACCAGCGCAUGCUUUGCAUGAAAAAUUGAUGAAGUGAAAGCUGCCAUGCACACCGCCGUACAGAUCCUGAGACUACCUGUAGGAGGUGGUCUGAGUUUGGUUGGAUGAUUCUAGUAAAUGUGAAGGCAAUUUGUACUGCAUGCAACAUUAUAACACUAAAAUAUAUUUUUUUAAAUAGU
Long non-coding RNA from Silurus meridionalis, 417 nucleotides. RefSeq lists it as uncharacterized. The transcript is spliced from 2 exons. The record is from RefSeq and is a predicted model, not a curated record. Lineage: Eukaryota; Metazoa; Chordata; Actinopteri; Siluriformes; Siluridae.